UCCUCUCCUUCUCCCUCUCUCCCUCUCUCUCCUUCUCCCUCGCACCCUCCCUCGCCCGAUUUUUCGAACCGAGGGGCGGAACCAUGCCUGUCCACCUCCAGCAUGGUUCGGUACACCCUAAACUGGAUGGUUCGGAUGGUACUGCCUUCUUUGGAUCACCUUUAUUUGGUUCCAAGUCAUGCAGUACAAAGCAUGCAAUGCAACAUUGUGGAUUCACACCUUAUGCAUUGAAAAUCAGGAAGCUAAACUACAAUACACAAUUCUAACAUGCUGCUUUAGAAAAUUUAAAUGAUAGAUAUAUUAGCACAGCAAUAACUGCUUUCCUGGCUGAGCAACUGUUGCAUUUUACUGAGAGUUCCCUUACAUGUCUCAUGGCAGGGUUUAUUGCACUUAGCUGAAGAGUUUGUACAGGAAUAUGUUCAAGCUGGAUUUCAAGACUGGUGGUUAGGCAUAAAAAUCGGUGAACAUAAACCGUAAGAUAAUAGACAAGAUAAUGCGCCGAAAACCAAAUAUAAGACAUUGAAUGAAGCAAUGCAAUGACUAUGCAAACCUGAUUAGGUAAUUCUGACAAUUUCUCAGGAGCCUGAUCACUGCUAUCAUGUGAAGAUUCCUCAAAUGCUUUCUUUGCCUCAUUAGCUUUCCUUUCAGCUUCUUUGAGCCUCAUUUCUUCCUCCUUUUUUUAUGUUCUUCCUCCUCUGCCUUCUCAAUUCGUUCUUUUUGCUCUGCAUGGAAGGUCAACAAAAAGCUAUUGAAAGAAAAGGGACCUGGUUCAUAGAUUUUACCUUGUCCAAACCUUCUUGUUCAAAUUAUUAAUCCUUUAAAUCUAUCACAACAUGAAGAUUCGAAAGUAUGUGAAUGAUAUGCCUUUCUUCUUAAAAUGGUUAAUUCGACAGAGUGGAAAAUUUUGAAUCCUACUGUCUGAAAAAAUGAGAGAGAUAUUCUAAUAGUUAAUACCUAAGAAUUUUUUCUAAGUGGGGGAGCCUAUGAUAAGCCUUAAAACCAAAAAUCAUCACACUUUAGAAUACUAAAGCGGGGGAGCCUCCUACAGUCCAGAAACUUUAUAACACAAUAAGUUACGAUGACCACCAAAUGCUCCAAGAUGAGGUAAUCCAGUGAUUUCCAAUUUUAAAACCAGAAGGCAGAUGGAGCUAUAAAAUUUAUAGAGUUAAUAAUAAUUUUUUUUGAGGUGAAUCAAUAAAAAGUUGUAGUGGCUUAAACUUUAACUCAAUCUUAUUAGAUUAUUCAACAUAAUAUAUACGUUUUUAUUUUCGAAACUCUAAUGGAUAUUUUUCACAUUUCUUAGCUUCUUUUUAUCUAUUUUUUUGUGUGCCAUUCACUUUAUUAAAAAACUUAGUGUAACUUCGAGCAACAUUUGCCACAAGAAUAUUUUAGGCCAAACCUUGAGCAUUGAAACUUUUAAGUAUAUCCAGUUCGACAAGAUAAGUAAGUUCAAAGGACUCAUGGCAGCCACAUCAAGCAGUGAGGGCAUCUUUAGAUCUGGAAGAACUUACAAGAUCAUAACAAUAAAUGAGGAUAGUAGCAUUACUGCUGUUACAAGAACCCACUAAAAUUAUUAUAUCUAAUUUAACUUCACCAGAGUGUAGCAGAAGCACCACAAUUACAUGAACUAUUGACUACUUCUAUAAUCGAAAAAGCUGACUGUUUGAACAAGUAAUGACAAGAGAGCACCUUUAAGCUUCUGAACAAUCUCUUUGAGUAUCUUCUCUUCACUUUUAAGUUUUAACAAUUCUGCUUCAUCUUUCGCAAAUGCUUGUUUUGCCUCUUCCACUUCCUGCUUUCGAAUAGUAAUUCCAUUCUGAAACAUCGCUAUCUUCUUCUGCAAUUUCUCCCUGGCCACUUUACCAGCCUCCCAACAUGUAUUUGGACAGUUCACAAUGCCAUUAUAUUCAUCGCUCCCAUCACAACAAUCUGCAUGAGAGAACAUAAGGUGAAAAAAGAGGGACCAAGAUCAAUAAAACUGCAGUUUUGAAGAUUACAGUGGUAUGUCCUUGUGAAGGGACCACAGAGUUAUCAAAGUUCAAAACUAGAAUUUACAAAAUAGAGAAUUAUUCGCAACAGAUUAAUCCAGCAUGAUAAAAAAUAUAAAACAAUCUUGCCGUCAUACAAAAUCUGUCCGUGUACAACCCUAUGUUAGAAAUCUCUCUCUCUCAUCACAUACACAAAUUUAGAUCAUCAUAUAUCAAUCUAUGAAAGGGAGGGUACAGAUUAAGGAAAACACUUGGCAUAAUAACUUGAUAGAGCAUAUAAUGAUGGCAUGUAAUUGCAAGUUAUGGCAUUUAUGGGUAUGAAUUUAAUUGAGAUAACAAAUGGCCUGCAAAGACAAACAUCUUUCACACUUUAGUAGCUGAUCCAUACUAAGUAUACGGAUUAGGUAAUUCUGACAAUUUCUCAGGAGCCUGAUCACUGCUAUCAUGUGAAGAUUCCUCAAAUGCUUUCUUUGCCUCAUUAGCUUUCCUUUCAGCUUCUUUGAGCCUAAUUUCUUCCUCCUUUUUUUACGUUCUUCCUCCUCUGCCUUCUCAAUUCGUUCUUUUUGCUCUUUAAGCUUCUGAACAAUCUCUUUGAGUAUCUUCUCUUCACUUUUAAGUUUUAACAAUUCUGCUUCAUCUUUCGCAAAUGCUUGUUUUGCCUCUUCCACUUCCUGCUUUCGAAUAGUAAUUCCAUUCUGAAACAUCGCUAUCUUCUUCUGCAAUUUCUCCCUGGCCACUUUACCAGCCUCCCAACAUGUAUUUGGACAGUUCACAAUGCCAUUAUAUUCAUCGCUCCCAUCACA
This 2791-nucleotide long non-coding RNA is filed under the name Phoenix dactylifera (date palm). RNAcentral's name for it is "long non-coding RNA (PDAC_LNC002286)". Lineage: Eukaryota; Viridiplantae; Streptophyta; Magnoliopsida; Arecales; Arecaceae. The record is from RNAcentral.